RNAcentral lists this ribosomal RNA (320 nucleotides) under Clostridioides difficile. Its description in RNAcentral is "partial 16S ribosomal RNA". It matches the Rfam family "Bacterial small subunit ribosomal RNA", at positions 1223 to 1533 of the family's 1533-position model. The record is from RNAcentral. Lineage: Bacteria; Bacillati; Bacillota; Clostridia; Peptostreptococcales; Peptostreptococcaceae.
UGCUACAAUGGGUAGUACAGAGGGUUGCCAAGCCGUAAGGUGGAGCUAAUCCCUUAAAGCUACUCUCAGUUCGGAUUGUAGGCUGAAACUCGCCUACAUGAAGCUGGAGUUACUAGUAAUCGCAGAUCAGAAUGCUGCGGUGAAUGCGUUCCCGGGUCUUGUACACACCGCCCGUCACACCACGGGAGUUGGAGACGCCCGAAGCCGACUAUCUAACCUUUUGGAAGAAGUCGUCGAAGGUGGAAUCAAUAACUGGGGUGAAGUCGUAACAAGGUAGCCGUAUCGGAAGGUGCGGCUGGAUCACCUCCUUUCUAAGGAGA